AACGAACGCUGGCGGCAUGCCUAACACAUGCAAGUCGAACGAGACCUUCGGGUCUAGUGGCGCACGGGUGCGUAACGCGUGGGAAUCUGCCCUUGGGUUCGGAAUAACAGCGAGAAAUUGCUGCUAAUACCGGAUGAUGACGUAAGUCCAAAGAUUUAUCGCCCAAGGAUGAGCCCGCGUAGGAUUAGCUAGUUGGUGAGGUAAAGGCUCACCAAGGCGACGAUCCUUAGCUGGUCUGAGAGGAUGAUCAGCCACACUGGGACUGAGACACGGCCCAGACUCCUACGGGAGGCAGCAGUGGGGGAAUAUUGGACAAUGGGCGAAAGCCUGAUCCAGCAAUGCCGCGUGAGUGAUGAAGGCCUUAGGGUUGUAAAGCUCUUUUACCCGGGAUGAUAAUG
This 398-nucleotide ribosomal RNA is filed under the name uncultured bacterium. RNAcentral's name for it is "bacterial SSU rRNA". It matches the Rfam family "Bacterial small subunit ribosomal RNA", at positions 29 to 453 of the family's 1533-position model. The record is from RNAcentral.